CUGAAAAAAUGUAGUCACGUAGUUUUCUUAGACGGUGAACAAGCUGUAUUACAAAGAGCAAAAGGUUUUUUCUUUUGGAGAUACACCGAAAUAUUAAAGAAAUAUUCAGAGAGCGAGACAACAUUGGUUGUGAUGGCUGAACGUUUUUUCCUGCUACUAGUCACCCAUGAGGCACGGAGCAGCCGCGUGAGCACAUUUUGACCAGAGGUCAGGUCCUUUUAGCGGGAACCUAAACUUCCUGGAGCUGCAUUCGAAUAUCGUUGGAUGUCGAUGCUGGAACUGGCGUGAACAGGAAGUUGGGGGAGGUACUCAAUGGAAGGGUAAAUACCAGUGACCUCAGCAGACCAGCUAAUCAUCCACAUCCCACCAGUUUGCAAGUGGACCAACCUUUGUGAAGAACUUGUGGCCACGGAUAUUCUGCGGUGACGGGCGAUCCCGUGGGUCGAUUUGAAAUAUUUUGCCCAUCAGUUUCCCAGCUUCAAUACCGAGGUUCUGGGGUAGAAUAAAUUUAGCUUCUUUGAUGUUCUUUAUCAUUUCACAGCGAUCGUCGUGAUCGAAUGGGAUUUCCCCAACCAGAAGCUGGUACCUGUAGUAAGAAAGGCAGCAAAGGUGUUUGAGGUCUUUCACAUUUGACAUAAAAAUGCUGUGCUUCCAAAAGAGCAAUUCCUCUCAACUGUGUGCCAGUAUUCAUUUUUCUUUUCUAUUUCAAGUAGAAAAAAAAAACAUAUUUAUGUAUGUUAGACGCAUGUCUUCUUAAAAUGUUAGACAGAUUUUAUUAGCCAUGCUGAUCUUUGGCCGGGAGGAGGGUUGAUAGGGUAUACGUACAUGACACAGCCCAGUGCCCAGACUUCUGCUUCCGUUCCAUGGCCGUCUCGUUUCCACACUUCUGGAGCCAUGUAACAUGGAGUACCACACACUUUUCUACAACACACACAAAUGGAAAACGUUAAGCGCACAUGUGCUUUAGCUUGCUGUAUAAACAAAUUUGAAAGCUUAGCCAGGAAUUCUGCAAAAAACACCUACUUCUCCCUCGGCUCCAGCUUGACCGCCAGUCCAAAAUCCCCGAUUUUCAGUUUCAUUUUGUCACUGACAAAUAAGUUUUCUGAAAGACAAACAAAUUUGCAUUAAGGAUAGACUCAAAUACUUUGCCAAACUGCAGACUUUACCAAAUUGAUAAAUGAACACUACACAGAAAUCCAGACGAGCUACACUCGCAAUGCCAUGUGAAAUGCCAGCAUUAUUAAACAGAGAAUUGAGUAAAGCGUGAGUGCAUGUACACAUAUCGAACUAGAUUUCCCUAUGGACAUAAUAUUGCCGGUAGAUGUGUUUUAUCCCCGAUAUCAGCUGUUGAAUGUAAUAGCGGACUUCGGGGUCAAUCAGAGUCCCGCGAGCUUUCAGGAUGUCACCAAGUGUCUGGGCAGGGAGAAACAGGGGCAGCCUGAUCCAUCACAAAGUCUUUGCCUUAGUAAGACGUCUAUAAAAGUCAGGGACUCACCUGCCUACUGCACAACUCCAUGAAAAUAUACAUGAACAGAUCGUCUUCAAAAGAAUGGGAGAAGCCCACAACGUUCUUGUGCCGUGGUUUUUUUCAAAAUUUCCACUUCUUGACACACCUGAGUGAAAUAUCAAACACACCAUCUCAUCAAGUACUGUAACAGGGAAAUGCAGAUAAACUGCAAAGAGGGAUGACAUUAAGCACAAUCCAUACCACAUACCUCCUCCAGUCCCCAGGAAUGUGGAGGUAUGACCAUCACAGCAAAGGUGUCACCACUUUCAAGGUCGGUCAUCUUGUAGCACUUGCCACAAGCACCCUAAAGAACAUGUCAAUAAAGGGCAUUUCUGACUGACCCUGUUCAAGCAUCUCCUCUCCGCAGAAAAAGAUCAACUGUAAUCACUUUCAACAACAACUUUGUGGUGCACACCUGUCCCAAAAGCGGCCAAGACAGCUGGGCAAUUUGAACUUGCUAGAUGGAUUACAUCACCACAUUGAAAAUUCCAUGGACGGAAAAAGAGCUCGCGCGACGUGGCCGAGGGACUUGAGGAGAAUUAUACACUGACAGCAGUGGAGAUGAGAGCGCACUUGAAAUUAUCAGGUAAGAGAGGGUUAAUCGAGCAAAAUGUACAAUUAUUGGUCAGAAAAUGUCGGUCAAAUUUCUAAAUAAUUAUGGCGUACGAAUAAUGAUAUAUCCGUAAAUCGUAUUUUACCGAUUUAAAGAUGUUCAUUAUUCAUUGUAUUGUCACGCCCCCCUCGGGAGAAUGCAGCGGCAGCAGCCACACCUGAGUUACGUCAACUCCCUGUUUAGUUCUGCUUGGCGCUGCAUUAUAUGCAAGGUACUGUUGAGGGUUUUCAUAAGAAGUACAGGGCGGUCUUCCUCCUGUCUACCCCGAUCCGGUCCAUCUGCCUGCUUUGCUGCCAUCCCAUCCCAUCCCAUCCUGAUCCACCCGGACCUCUCCCUUGUACUUGUCCUGCGUCUCGCAUGCCACCUGUAGAACUGGCUUUUGGACUCGAUUGUACUUGCUGAUUCCAGUCCUGUUUGCGUGUUCCCAACAAUAAACCCCGUACAGUACGUUGCCUUCUGUGUCUCUACCAUCCUCCGGGGUUGCAUGUUGUGCAAUACUGUAGUAGCUUGGAUUCAACCAUUAGAUGGCAGUAGUAGCAUAUAGUUGGAGGGAAGUAGAAGAAGGCAAGAGAGGGAAGUUGAGUGUUUGUGCGUUGUUCCCGGAGCUGAUAAGUUAAUAAAUAUUGAACCUCUUGCCAUCCCCAAAUGUGUCUCGGCUGACUCUCAAUAUAUCAAAAGUACAUACCGUCUAUUUAUUUAUGUCUGCCCUUCAAACCGCUAGAUUCCUUCACUAAGCAGGAAGUUUGUCACGACAGCUGACACCAAAUCUCCUGCUGAGCUGGUUCAGACAGAACUAUCCUCAAUUCACCACGAGGGGGCGCCAACGCAGCAGCUUAGUUCUAUUGUUUCGCUUUUUCAAAGACAGUUUUUCUCUUCACAAAAGGACAACUUAACUGAAUAAUGCACUUUCAUAGUAAUUGUUUUUAAUCCGUGUUAAUGUUCUGAACAAUGACUACUAAAGGUUCUGUAAGGUUGUCCCACAUACUAUGGAUUUUAAGUUUUUUAUCAAGGUGUUAAAACGUACCAUCUAUUUUCUGCUGAAAGUUGCCAGUCCUGUGUUUUAUGUCUAGCAAUUUGUACAGUUUCUUCAGUAUGGCACAUAAACACAUGCCAUCAUCUACAGUAUGAGAAUCUCCUCCAGAACUCUGCAUUUCCUCAAGAUUUUUUUGUAAUAUUACAUAGGUGCAUCUCAUGAACCUUAAUUUGCCAAGCAUGUAUUGACUGGGCACAGUACAGUGGUGCAAUUUCUGACAAUGAAAGAACAUCAUGGACCCCUACUCCCCAUUCCUUAACCCGAUCGAGGGGCUCUGCUCAGCAUGGAGUUAGAAGGCUUACGAUCGCUAGCCACAUGCUCAGAUGGCCCUGCUGUCUGACAUGAAUGCAGCAUGUGAGGACAUUACAGCAGAUGCCUGCAGAGGCAGGUAAGACAUUAGAAAAGAUUCCUUUUUUUCUUAUAUUUUAUUCUUUCUGUUUUUUCUUAUGUACAAAUACAUAAGUGCACAUUAGGAUGCUUUUUCACUAUUACGUAAGUUCCCAUGUGAACAGCCAAUCAGAUCAGCCUGAUGUGUGUCUUGUUCCUCUCUGUUUCCUGCCCUUUCAUCCCGACCACGACCAUGAUCUCUCACUUAGCAGCAGAGCAGUUUAUUCUAAACAGUGGAACCGCAAAGAUGUUCAGACUCUUUGGUCUUCUCAUUUUCAUUAGUAGGGUUCUAUACUAUUAAAUCAUAUUUUGGGGGGAUUUUUAUAUAUCCUGUACGAUGUGAUUAGUGUAAUAAGUAUUUGGCCAUUUAAUCUUCAUCAUAUGUAAUAGGUAUUCUGAUUAUUAUUAUGAUAUUUAUUUAUUUGUUUGUUUGUUUAUUCAUUUGUGUUUCUCUCUUUUUCCAGACACUUCACUGGCUGUGGAUGUUGUUCAGCCCAGCUACCUGAUGAGGGUCCAGCAUGGAGACAGUGUGACCCUGACAUGCUUCCGUCCAGAAGAUAUUUCUUUUGCAGUUUGGUUUUAGCAAGCUGCUGGUCAGAAGCCCCAGCUCAUCGCGAAAGCACUUCUCUACGUACCUGGUGAAUUUUACAAGGAAUAUAAAAACAUAAAACGUUACUCCUUACUGAAUGCAGAGGGGAGUUUUAACCUCACUAUUUCUAACGUGGAGCCGUCAGAUUCUGCAGUGUAUUAUUGCGCUGCUCUGUUCUAUAAUGAAAUCGCAUUUGGAAAUGGAACCUUUGUCAUAAUCACAGAUAAAUGAGAUUCCAACUA
This is a long non-coding RNA of Brienomyrus brachyistius, 4371 nucleotides long. RefSeq lists it as uncharacterized. The record is from RefSeq and is a predicted model, not a curated record. The transcript is spliced from 5 exons. Lineage: Eukaryota; Metazoa; Chordata; Actinopteri; Osteoglossiformes; Mormyridae.